This 253-nucleotide ribosomal RNA is filed under the name uncultured bacterium. RNAcentral describes it as "partial 16S ribosomal RNA". It matches the Rfam family "Bacterial small subunit ribosomal RNA", at positions 524 to 776 of the family's 1533-position model. The record is from RNAcentral.
UACGUAGGGUGCGAGCGUUGUCCGGAAUUAUUGGGCGUAAAGGGCUCGUAGGCGGUUUGUCGCGUCGGGAGUGAGAACUCAGGGCUCAACCCUGAGCGUGCUUCCGAUACGGGCAGACUAGAGGUAUGCAGGGGAGAACGGAAUUCCUGGUGUAGCGGUGGAAUGCGCAGAUAUCAGGAGGAACACCGGUGGCGAAGGCGGUUCUCUGGGCAUUACCUGACGCUGAGGAGCGAAAGCAUGGGGAGCGAACAGG